Molecule: ribosomal RNA, 929 nt
Filed under: uncultured bacterium
Lineage: Bacteria
Description: bacterial SSU rRNA
Rfam family: Bacterial small subunit ribosomal RNA
Source: RNAcentral
CAGGCCUAACACAUGCAAGUCGAGGGGUAACGAUGUCUUCGGACAGGCGACGACCGGCGCACGGGUGAGUAUCGCGUUUGUAACCUACCUUUAACUGGAGAAUAGCCCGAAGAAAUUCGGAUUAAUACUCCAUAAUACUAUGAUCUGGCAUCUUUUUAUAGUUAAAGCUCCGGCGGUUAAAGAUGGACAUGCGUAACAUUAGUUUGUUGGUGAGGUAACGGCUCACCAAGACUACGAUGUUUAGGGGGUCUGAGAGGAUGGUCCCCCACACUGGUACUGAGACACGGACCAGACUCCUACGGGAGGCAGCAGUGAGGAAUAUUGGUCAAUGGGCGAAAGCCUGAACCAGCCAUGCCGCGUGAAGGAUGACAGCGCUAUGCGUUGUAAACUUCUUUUGUACAGGAAGAAACACUUCUACGUGUAGAAGCUUGACGGUACUGUACGAAUAAGCAUCGGCUAACUCCGUGCCAGCAGCCGCGGUAAUACGGAGGAUGCAAGCGUUAUCCGGAUUUAUUGGGUUUAAAGGGUACGUAGGCGGAAAAUUAAGUCAGUAGUGAAAUCCCGCAGCUUAACUGUGGAACUGUUAUUGAUACUGGUUUUCUUGAAUUUAGUUGAGGUAGGCGGAAUGUGUAAUGUAGCGGUGAAAUGCUUAGAUAUUACACAGAACACCGAUUGCGAAGGCAGCUUACUAAGCUAUGAUUGACGCUGAGGUACGAAAGCGUGGGGAGCGAACAGGGUUAGAUACCCUGGUAGUCCACGCCGUAAACGAUGAUCACUCGUUGUUGGCAAUAAACAGUCAGCGACUGAGCGAAAGCAUUAAGUGAUCCACCUGGGGAGUACGCUCGCAAGAGUGAAACUCAAAGGAAUUGACGGGGGCCCGCACAAGCGGAGGAACAUGUGGUUUAAUUCGAUGAUACGCGAGGAACCUU